GGGGCUGUAGUAGAGACGGUUACAACGCCGGCCUGUCACGCCGGAGGUCGCGGGUUCGAGUCCCGUCAGCCCCGCCA
Molecule: transfer RNA, 77 nt
Filed under: Desulfuromonas sp.
Lineage: Bacteria; Pseudomonadati; Thermodesulfobacteriota; Desulfuromonadia; Desulfuromonadales; Desulfuromonadaceae
Also listed under: 4 other names
Description: tRNA-Asp
Rfam family: tRNA
About the family: Transfer RNA (tRNA) molecules are approximately 80 nucleotides in length. Their secondary structure includes four short double-helical elements and three loops (D, anti-codon, and T loops). Further hydrogen bonds mediate the characteristic L-shaped molecular structure. tRNAs have two regions of fundamental functional importance: the anti-codon, which is responsible for specific mRNA codon recognition, and the 3' end, to which the tRNAs corresponding amino acid is attached (by aminoacyl-tRNA synthetases). tRNAs cope with the degeneracy of the genetic code in two manners: having more than one tRNA (with a specific anti-codon) for a particular amino acid; and 'wobble' base-pairing, i.e. permitting non-standard base-pairing at the 3rd anti-codon position.
Source: RNAcentral